This 4664-nucleotide long non-coding RNA is filed under the name Homo sapiens (human). RNAcentral describes it as "HSALNT0310164". Lineage: Eukaryota; Metazoa; Chordata; Mammalia; Primates; Hominidae. The record is from RNAcentral.
AUCACGCCCGGCUGCUUUUUUUGUUUUAGUAGAGAGGAGGUUUCACCGUGUUAGCCAGGAUGGUCUCAAUCUCCUGACCUCGUGAUCCGCCCGCCUCGGCCUCUCAAAGUGCUGGGAUUACACGCGUGAGCCACCGCGCCUGGCCUGAAGAAAGUUAAGUUCAAUUUUGAGUUUUUUUCAUACGUAUAAAGCUGUGAUAUUUAGAUGGAAAAAGACAAAAUACAAACAACAGAAACUCCAGACUUUAUUUGGUAAAGGGGUCGUAAGCGAUUGUUGUCUAGAAUUAAUUAUUUAACUAUUUUUGGAAUGGUGUUUUGCAUUAUUUAGAAAGAGAAAAAAGUAUAAAAAAUAAAAUACAUAUAAUCUAACAAUUCCAUUAUAAACACCGACCGCACUGCUUAUUUCCUUCCCAUUGGUCAGUUGUUUGCUUCCUUCUUUCCUUCCUUCUCAGUUCCGCUCCUUUUUCCCCUUCUUUUCCUUUCCUUUCUUUUCUCCCCGUUUGUGUUCAUUUCCUUUUCUCUUCUCCUUCUUUUCUUCAUCUAUCUACUUACUUUUGUAAUAUUAUAUGGGUAUAAUGGAAACAUUUUAAUAUAAUGUUUAAUAUCUUUUAAAAUAGGAUUCUGUGUUGCCACUAUAUUCCCAUUAUAUGGAGACACCCUAAGUUGUUAACCUUCUUUGGUUUGAACAUUGGCUUCUAUCAUUUGGUAGUGAAUUUCUGUCGUUUUGCAUAUGACCAUGAUUAUCCUCAAGACAGAGUGACAGUCUAAUUUAUCUUUGGGUUUUGUCUUUGUCCUUCCAAAAUAGUAACAGCACACGCUAAGUACUCAGUGUUAGUUUUUCUGACUAAAGAAAUAAGUUUGCUUGUUUCCUGCUUUGAAUGUUAACUGUAUCUGACAUGAAGAUCAGUUAUGGAAUUCACCAGUUAGCAUUGUGUUUACAUGUUUACAUGUAUUUACAUCUAUUAAGAACAGUGCUUUUCGGAAGAAAGUAAUAUUCCUCUGCUUUAAUUAAACAUAUGCAUGUUUUCAGUAAAGAAUAAUGUUUCUGUUUCUUUAAGUAUACCUUAAUAUUAUAGGCCUUAUAUUUUACCAGAAGGACCCGAUUUAAAGCAAAAGUUGAAUGCUCUGUAACCUAUAAUCAGCCCACACACAGUCUAUCAAAAUAGCAAAAUAUCAUUUCUUUCCUAUAGAAAUAUAUAAGCUUCUAAUUUACAAAUCUGUAUGUUUAUGUUAUCAACAUGAACUUGUAUCUCAUCUUUCUGUUUAUGGGUGCGUGUUUCUUACAUUCACCAUUUUUACUGAAACGCAAGUGGCAACUCUUAUUUGCCAAGAAAAGAUGACAAAAAAUAAAGAAAUGCUUUCACAAUAAAGGGAGAAUUUGCAGUAGCAGAAAAUUAUUAGCUGAGAAAAAAUGUUAAAAUAAGCUUAUUACUUGAGCCAUGCUUUUUACUAUGAAAGUGAAAAGUUAGAAAUCAUUAUUUUAAAACUUUCACAAGGAAUAAAACGUUUAUGCAUAUAGUCAGGGAUUUGAGGUCUGAAUUAUUCAGAGUAUUUAUCUGUAUAGUUCAUAUUCCAUGGAUAUUGGCUCAAAUCUCUAUUUUGCCUGAUAAAGAUUUCAUUUUCAGUUUGACCACAUUGAACUGGGUACUAAGCAUUCAAAAGGUUGUUACAUCUCAUUUUUUGCAGAAAAAGAAUGAAAUAAUGGAAAACUUAUUGACAUACAUAAUAAGUGCAAACCAAAGACUGUGUAGGCAUUAUUAUGUAAAAAGUUCAUGCCCAGAGAGAAAUUAGAGCAGGAUACAGUUCCUCAGGGCAAGGAACUGCUAACUAUACACCCAGCUCUGUGACAUUUAGCAUUCUGUGGCCAGCCAAAAAUAAUAAUGUUAGUAAGUGUAUUGCCAGUUUUAAUUAAGUCGCAAGUGAAAUAUUUGUCAUUCCAGUUUCUCAGAACUUUUGUGCUGUGUAUAUGUUUCCAUUGUUUAUUGUUUUAUGAUUCUUCUGUAGAUUGGUGAAUGGAAAUACCUGAAAUUGCAAGAUUAGUCCGGCUGCAAUGAUAUAAUGCAUACGUCUAUACUUUAUAAAAUGCAGAGUGUUGUAAACAUUUAGACAUUGUCACUUCUUAUCAUUGCGUGUAUCAUGCAAGUAUAUAAUCCAGAUAUUGUGGAAAGUCCCAAGCCAACAUCUGUAGUCAUUUUAAAUGUAUGGAGACUAUUAACACUUCCAAAUGUCAUUCCCUCUGGAUGAGACACAAAUCACUUAAAAAGAACCAGUGACUACUUAAUACCCCAGCGAAAAACAAAGACAAUGAGUACAACUUUUCUGUGUGCAUCAGUUUACCAUUGUUUCCAAAGCUAAUAGAAAGAUCCUCAAAUGCAUACUUUUACAUACUAAUAUGUUGCAUUUCACACUAUAAACCAGACCCAGCAUAUCUGUUUAAGCAUCAGGUGCUUUAUCUAAUCCAAGUAUACUUAAUUACUUAAAUUGUAAUUAAUUCAAAAAAUGAUGUGAAUAAGCAGGAAAAUAUUCAAGAAUUUACAUAUUCUCCAUUUCAGCGACCGUUAGCCAAACUCAGAUUUAGCUGACAAGCUUAUCCCAGUUUUUGUUCUCUCCCUCUUUCUUAGUAUCUUCCAUUAAGUUUCUUGAAACUUAUUAAUCUCAUCAGUAGGAGACCAUAUCAGUCUUCUUACUUAUUAACUAACAUGGGUCAACUUCAAAGUUAACUUUUGCUAGAUUCUAUAAUCUAAACUUGAUGUAAAGAACAAAAAUAAGGCUUUCUAUAUUUAUAGCCCACUUAUUUUCAGUUUGGAGAAACAUGGAGAACCGUUCAGAAACCAAUGGUCAGCUAAUUGUGCAAACACUAAACUUUUCAAAAGAAAACUUACUUAGGAAAGAAAAUAAAUGUUUAAGAAACUAAAUUGGAUAAAUAUAUAACAUUUUUCCAGGUAUUUAACUAUAAUAGUUUCUCUACAUAUCUUUUCCUGUGAAUUUUCUUUGGAAAGCUGACUUUAAGUACACAAAAUUAAGAUGAAUUGUUCAUCUUCAGUUAACACGAUAGUAUUUUGUCUCAGACUCAUGAACUGACAAAGAAAGCAGAUAAUCCUAGGUUGAUUUACAGAGCAACAGCUAUCUUUGCAACCAGAGGGUUAGAAGUGAAAAGGAAAAAAAAUCUUAUCUUAAAUAAUAAGACUCCCUACAUAUUUGCAGAAUAAAUAAAAAUGAAAUAUCUACAGAGAGGACCUAAAUUCCCAGCCACAAUAUCCAUAUUUUUGGAUAUCAUUCUGCUGUUGAUACUAUCUGUAGUCUUUCCACACUUGCUUAGCUUGUCAUCAGUUUCCUUCAAUAGUUUGAAACCUGCUUCAGAGACAGAUGUGUACCAAUGGAGGCAUGAUUACAUGUGAGAGGCUGGACUGUGAAUAGCAGAAAAAAUACAGGGGCAGAGACAAAUAAAUAUUUUUUGUUAUAGUCGCAAACCAAGUGGAUGGUGCCCAAUUCGUAAUGCUGUUGGUCAUGAUUUUGAUUUUAUUAAUAUAGGACCAGAUUUCUAGGUGUAUGUUGUAUUCUUUGUCCAGGCUAGAGAGUAAAGAAAAGGAAGUAGGGUAAUUCCCUAUUUCUUUUUCUUUAUUUUUUAAGUUGUAUUGAUAUAUAACAGUUGUACGUAUUUUGAGGGUACAUGUGACAUUUUGAUACCUGUAUACGUUGUGUAAUGAUCAAAUUAGGGUGAUUUGGAUAUCUAUCACCUCAAACAUUUGUCUUUUCUUUGUCUUGGGAACAUUACAAUUCUUCUGGCUGUUUUGAAAUAUAAAAUAAGCUAUUGUUAACUAUAACCUCACUAAUAUACUAUUGAACACUAGAACUUAUUUUUUCUAUCUAAUUGUGUUUUUGUACUGAUGAACUAAUUUCUUUUCAUCCAACUUCCCUUCUUCUUUGUCUUCUACCGAUCCUAAGUCUAAUUUGACCACUUUUCUGCCGGUCCUGUAUUUAAAAAAGAAGGAACUCAAGAAGUAUCAAAAGAAGGAGUGUUCAAGUGGAAAACACUGAAGUAGAUUUUACUUGCUCAGCAUCCCACGGAUUUGGGGGAGAUUUUUGUGUCCAUUGCUUACCUUCAGGUGGCCAGCAAAGCCAACCAGUGGAAUGAAUUUAACAUGUCCACAACUCUGGAAGAAAAGCUGUUGUACAAUGUGCAGUGGGUACAGGGAUGGAGCUCUGCCGAGGACAACCAGUUGCUGAGAGGCAAAGCUCAUCAUUUUGAAGGGCUAGGUGAAGGCCCAUUUAAUUUCCUCCAGGAGAAAAUGUCACCACCACCAUUGGUAAGCACAGGGGAUGCAGAGUGAAAUUUGGCUACAUCUUCAUACAGAGUUGCUCCUAGAAGAGAAAGACAUGAUUUAUGACUGAAGAGCCAGUAUUUUCCCCUAGGAAAUUUAUUUCAUUUAUGAAUAAAAAAAGGGAAAGAUAUUUAAACAAGAAAUUUCCUAGUUUUGUUGAUGAUCUGAAAACCUCCCCUGCCACUUCGGCUGUAAUAAAAAAAAAAGUAAACUGAAUUCACAACAACUGGUGAUUUCUAUGCCAGUGACUGAGAAGCAGAGAGAUUAAUAUCUCCCCAAACAAAAUUCACUAAUGAUGCUUCUCUCCCCAAAAGAGUGAGUAUUACUUGGUUUCUAGAUAACA